GGCCGCGGGGCCGCGAAGCCGCUGCCUCUCGGGAGCUGGCCGUGCGCUCUGGCCCCGCACCCCCCGCCCGCAGCCCCGACCGCUCCGCCCGCGCCCCGCCGGCUCCCGUCACUGGAUAAGAGAAGACGCGAAGCAUGUCGGAGUUUUGGUUAAUUUCUGCCCCUGGAGAUAGGGAAAAUUUGCAAGCUCUGGAGAGGAUGAAUACUGUAACCUCCAAGUCCAACCUGUCUUAUAAUACCAAAUUCGCUAUUCCUGAUUUCAAGGUGGGGACCUUGGAUUCCCUGGUUGGCCUCUCUGAUGAGUUGGGGAAACUCGACACCUUUGCUGAAAGCCUCAUAAGAAGAAUGGCUCAGAGCGUGGUGGAAGUCAUGGAGGACUCGAAGGGGAAGGCACAGGAACACCUCCUGGCAAAUGGAGGCUUGAAAGAAAAGAUGAAAUGUUUAAAGAUUGACUUAACCUCCUUUGUGACCCACUUUGAAUGGGACAUGGCCAAAUAUCCUGCCAAGCAGCCGCUCGUGAGUGUGGUGGACACCAUAGCCAAGCAACUGGCACAGAUCGAGACGGACCUGAAGUCCCGAACGGCAGCCUAUAACACUCUGAAGACGAACCUGGAGAACCUGGAGAAGAAAUCCAUGGGGAACCUCUUCACCCGGACGCUGAGCGAUAUUGUGAGCAAAGAGGACUUUGUGCUGGGUUCUGAAUAUCUCAUCACGCUUCUGGUCAUUGUCCCCAAACCAAACUACUCACAAUGGCAAAAAACCUACGAAUCUCUCUCGGACAUGGUGGUCCCUCGAUCAACCAAACUCAUUACUGAGGACAAGGAGGGCGGCCUUUUCACUGUGACUCUGUUUCGAAAAGUGAUUGAAGAUUUCAAAAGCAAAGCCAGAGAAAACAAGUUCACUGUUCGUGAAUUUUACUAUGAUGAGAAAGAAAUUAAAAGGGAAAGGGAGGAGAUGGCCCGAUUGCUGUCUGAUAAGAAGCAACAGUAUCAAACUUCCUGUGUUGCUCUUAAAAAGGGAUCAUCUACCUUCCCGGACCACAAGGUUAAGGUAACCCCGCUAGGUAACCCCGAUAGGCCCGCUGCGGGGCAGAGCGACAGAGAGAGAGAGAGUGAGGGCGAGGGUGAGGUAAGCAACGCCCCGGGAAGCCGGGGGUCCCUGGCUCGCGCCUCCUCGCCAGCUCAGGCACCUUCUGAGAAAAUGAAUCUUUGCAUUUUCUGUUCUCUCACAUGGCUUUUGAGGUCUUAAAUUUGAGGAGCCCAGAAUCAUGCCUUCCUCCUAAUCUGCAGGGCCUCUUUGGAGCUGCCUCUGCCAGCAGUGAAGGGUGCUUGUCUGCCAGGGUGCCUCUCCCUGGGCCCCUGGCUGGAGGUGGCUGGAGCUGGGACGGGCAGGACCUGGUGGUGGUGGACAGCUCAGCUCUCCUCCCUCGGCUGCCCUGGCUGGACCCACCCCUGACCUUUGUGGGCAGUUGCAGUGUCAGGCAGGAGCUCAGAGCUCUUGCUCCUAGACUCUGAGCUCCCGGGAGGACCUGCCACAUCAGCAUCAGUGGCCGCUGAUGUAGCCACGUGAUGUGGGGCUGUGAGGUGCCCCUGGAGGCAGCUGCUGUGGAUGGUCCCAGGAGCCUGGGGGCAGAGUCUUCAGGAAUGCGGGCUCCCUGGCUGCGCAGUGUCAGGCGGAAGCCCCUGGCUGCAUGCUGAACGUCCCAAGGGCCCCCUGCUGCGCUGGCUCAAGGUGAACUUCAGCGAAGCCUUCAUUG
RNA transcript from Cebus imitator (Panamanian white-faced capuchin), 1755 nucleotides. It is a transcript of the gene named ATPase H+ transporting V1 subunit C2, with no coding region annotated. The transcript has 13 exons. Lineage: Eukaryota; Metazoa; Chordata; Mammalia; Primates; Cebidae. The record is from RefSeq and is a predicted model, not a curated record.